This 492-nucleotide ribosomal RNA is filed under the name uncultured bacterium. Its description in RNAcentral is "partial 16S ribosomal RNA". It matches the Rfam family "Bacterial small subunit ribosomal RNA", at positions 29 to 507 of the family's 1533-position model. The record is from RNAcentral.
AGUGAACGCUGGCGGUAGGCCUAACACAUGCAAGUCGAACGGCAGCACAGUAAGAGCUUGCUCUUACGGGUGGCGAGUGGCGGACGGGUGAGGAAUACAUCGGAAUCUACUUUUUCGUGGGGGAUAACGUAGGGAAACUUACGCUAAUACCGCAUACGACCUACGGGUGAAAGCAGGGGAUCUUCGGACCUUGCGCGAUUGAAUGAGCCGAUGUCGGAUUAGCUAGUUGGCGGGGUAAAGGCCCACCAAGGCGACGAUCCGUAGCUGGUCUGAGAGGAUGAUCAGCCACACUGGAACUGAGACACGGUCCAGACUCCUACGGGAGGCAGCAGUGGGGAAUAUUGGACAAUGGGCGCAAGCCUGAUCCAGCCAUACCGCGUGGGUGAAGAAGGCUUUCGGGUUGUAAAGCCCUUUUGUUGGGAAAGAAAAGCAGCAGGUUAAUACCCCGCUGUUCUGACGGUACCCAAAGAAUAAGCGCCGGCUAACUUCGUG